CAGCACUAACCAGCGUGGGCAUACUCUGCUAGGACUUCUGCCUAAGGGAGAGAAGGGGUCUCUUACCUUGGUCACGCCCUUGCCUUGAGCACACGGGCGCCAAGCUUCAGAAGGGAGACAAACCCCACACGGCUAUAAUUAGGGGCUUUCUUAAGUCCCUGUCACGCAUGAUCAAGUGUGCCAGGAUUCGGGAUCAUACUUCCUCCCAGGACUUCCAAGCUCUUGCGUGUGAUCUUCUCUAAGUCUGGGGGCUGAGGAAAAGCCAGCCCUCCCCUCCCACCAGCACCCACCCAGUGCAUCUCCACCCAUAGCUCUCUCUCCCAGCCAGGUCUGGACCAGAGAUGCCUCAAGACAGGCGACAUUGGUGACAUCAACGGGACCCCAGAGGGUCUUCAUCUCACUCUCAGAAGCAGGCAGCAUUCUGAAAAUCACCCUCACGGGCCUGCCUCUGCUCCACAGGACACCCGAUGGCCCGAGGAGCUCAGAUUCACCUCUCCCACCAGGGUUCUCUGUUCCUUUAAAAUCCCACCUUUCCUGUCCUUCUGAUUCAGAGGAAGGAGUUCUCAGGACUGUGUCUCCUCCUCCACGGCCCUGGGAUCUUUGCCUAUAGAGCUCCUUCUCCUCCAUCUGUGAGCAAACCUCCUCCCAUAGGCAGAAACCACAUCCACACACACAAACCCACACAACACACCAACAUAAACCCACACACAACACACUGACAUCACACACACUGACACACAAUCCCACACAAAACACACCAUCAGACACAGACAUCACACACACACACAUAAACCCACACACAACACACUGAUAUCACACACACCAACAUCACACACAAACAUAGACCCACACACAACACACCAACAUCACAAACACAGACACCACACACACACAUAAAUCCUUACACAACACGCUGACAUCACACACACAGACACUAUAUACACACACAAACCCACACAACACACCGACAUCACACACACAGACACUAUGUACACAAACAUCACCCACAGACACCAGAUGCACACACCACACACACUCAAACUUCUCUCUUACACACACUCUUCCAUCACACCCUCACAGAGUCAUGACACAUGAGCAUACUACACACAUAUCACACAAAUAUUCACAGACACACAGACAACCCCCCCCACACACACAAUGCACACACCACACAACUGUCUCCCCGGGCCCACACCCUGUCCAUAUACAGACCAUGGAGAGCAAGAAGGGCUGAAGCUGGUCUUGCCCCUGCCUCCUGGAGGAGGAGGGUGCACCUGAAAACAGACCCAGCAAGAGAUGGGAGCCCCGGGAGCAGCCCAACUCCAGGUCCUCUGCAGAAGUGUCCUAGCCGCCACCAGGCUGCCCUGCAUGGCUCAGCAGUUUCCAGUGCCAGGCUGCAGGGAGGUGUGUGGGGCUGGA
Molecule: long non-coding RNA, 1419 nt
Filed under: Homo sapiens (human)
Lineage: Eukaryota; Metazoa; Chordata; Mammalia; Primates; Hominidae
Description: HSALNT0265667
Source: RNAcentral